RNAcentral lists this transfer RNA (71 nucleotides) under Phycisphaerales bacterium. Its description in RNAcentral is "tRNA-Gln". It matches the Rfam family "tRNA". Rfam says of the family: Transfer RNA (tRNA) molecules are approximately 80 nucleotides in length. Their secondary structure includes four short double-helical elements and three loops (D, anti-codon, and T loops). The record is from RNAcentral. RNAcentral also lists the same sequence under 1 other name. Lineage: Bacteria; Pseudomonadati; Planctomycetota; Phycisphaerae; Phycisphaerales.
UGCCUGGUGGUGUAAUGGCAGCACAACAGAUUUUGGUUCUGUGAGUCCGGGUUCGAGUCCCGGCCGGGUAG